Molecule: long non-coding RNA, 765 nt
Organism: Canis lupus familiaris (dog)
Lineage: Eukaryota; Metazoa; Chordata; Mammalia; Carnivora; Canidae
Exons: 3
Source: RefSeq, a predicted model, not a curated record
UUACUUACUCUAGUGUAGGGCUAGGCUAGUCAACCUAGGCUAGGCUAGCCUAGCCUAGCCUCACAAAGCUGAUGUGAAGAGAGAGAAAAGGCUUCAUUCCCUCUUUUAAGGAAGUUAAAAAUUAGGCUGAGCUGUGGAACCACAAUGUUAAUACUAAUCACUGGGAUCUCACACAAGAAUUGCCUAGGCAAUGAUAUCAGCCUGUGAGGAGAACAAUAACUUUGCUUUAAUGGUAAUGGAUUCGCACUUUUCCCCAGUGCAAAUAAUGACAAAAUCUGCUAAGGACAACUGACCAAGGUUUAUAAAGUGUAUUUCCAAGCAGAUGAAAAGUGAAACGGAGUUUAUAGCAUCCAAAACAUCAACCAGGUGAAGAAAGUAUUGAUGCACCAAGAGAUUAAGACAAGAAAUUCAAGGUCACAUGGCUGGUAAAUGUUCGUUGAGCAACACUAAACCGCCCCUAAGAGCAUAUGCCAAUGAAGAGAAGACCAAGCAAGCACCUUCUUGUUUUCAUAAGCAAUGAAACAUGCUUAUUUCUAACUGUGCUUAUAUCCAACCCAUUCUUCCUGCCUUCUCCUCCUUUUUGCAAGGAAUGGAGGAGGAAAUAACUGCAGAAGGCAAGUGACUUUCAAAAGUUUCCAAGAUGGGCAGCCUGGGUGGCUCAGCGGUUUAGUGCUGCCUUCAAGCCCAGGACAUGAUCCUGGAGACCUGGGAUCAGAGUCUCAUGUUGGGAUCCCUGCAUGGAGCCUGCUUCUCCCUCUGCCUGCC